AUCAAGACUAUAAGAGACUAAACAAUUGUAGAAUAGCCCUCACAAAAAACAAGCUAUCCUACACUAAUACUUACAAUACAGUAAAUUUGUCACAUGGUCCCAGAACAUAUACAGAGUAUAACUACUACUACUACUACAACAACAUUCUUCUAAGAGAGCUACUACUACUACUACUACUACUACAUUCUUCUAAGAGAAACUAGGCAGAACUGCUCUAUUUACUGAGAUACUUUUAUACCCGUCACCCACCUUUCUUGAGCUUUGAUACCAUCCCACCAAUCAGGUCCAAAGUUAGCUUGAAUCUUCUAGAAGGGAAUAACUCCCCCCCCCAAAAAAAAUAACUAUGCUCAACACACUCUUCACCUCCCAGUGGCCCAGGUGAAAUAAUUUUUAUUCCUAGAGCCUUUUUGACCUUGGUUCUCACCAGAUUACAGCCAGCUGCAAAUUGUCUCCAAAUUAACAGGAACUUGUUCUGCCCUCCCUUCCACUUCACUUGGACACAAGGCAACAGGCCCAGAUCCUAACAGGGCAACUGGAACUGAUCAACCCCUUUUGGCCAAUUCCUUCACAAAAGCUCAUCAGCAAUGGAAUCAGCCGGACUUCCCUUGAAAUCUAAGUACUACAGAGGAAGUUUUUGUCUUGUGGUCAAAGCUGAGACUAUAGACUAUCCCAUCCAUCCACUCUCUUCAAUAAUUAGCAGUCAUAUCAUCAGAAGAGAAUGGAUACUGUACUUCCAGCAGUGAUGGGGGCAGAGAAGCUCUUGGAGAGUUAGCUACUGGGCAACAGUAGUAGCAGUGGUGAAAAGUGACCCGGGAAGCAAAUCUUUCACAGCUAAUUCUUGUUAUUACUGUGCAGAAAAUGGUAAAUUAUUUCUAAAUAUUUGAUACCUUGAAAAUCCUACUAUGAGAAAAAUGUCCUUUGAAAAUUCUCCACUCAGUUUGCUGGCCGCUAGUGAAACAGUUUGUUUAGGUCUACAGAAGGGAAACAGCAAUGAUGAUGACAAUGACAGCGAUGAUGAUGGUGAUGUUGAUGGUACGUUUUAUUGGAAUUUACACUAUAUUUAUUUAUACUGGAGUAUAUGACUUGCUUAAUCAUUUGUAGUAAAUACGGUACCUUCGUUGUAGUGUAUGCUAACAUAGAUAGCUGCAGUUUUUGUUUUGAUGAGAAAUAAGCACAAAUCUGGGCAGAAAGUAUAACACCAUCUGUUUAGAGUGUUCUAAAAUAUUGUUUGAGAUGUAGAGAAAAUGAAACUAACAGGAACAGGGCUGGAGCCAAUAUUUGCUAAAUUAAUGUUUAGGGCUCUGAACAAUUCAAAAGCAGGCCUGCAGAAACUGUGCUUAAUGUGGUUAAGAAUGGUGCCAAUCUGAAUUCAGUGUGUUCCCCAAUAAAGACAACAGAUCCAACA
RNAcentral lists this long non-coding RNA (1405 nucleotides) under Pogona vitticeps (central bearded dragon). Its description in RNAcentral is "lncRNA (ENSPVIG00000017523.1)". Lineage: Eukaryota; Metazoa; Chordata; Lepidosauria; Squamata; Agamidae. The record is from RNAcentral.